UCCUUAAUUUCCCACCUCUUUUGGAUUUUCCACCUUUUUCCUCAUGGGAUUUCCUAGGAUGACUUGUCAGCCCAAUAAGCCUUAUUGCGAAUCCAAUAAACCCAUGUGGACCCCUUGGGGCGUGGUGGGCCCACCCAGUGGGCCAUCGGAACCCGGUACACUGCCAACAAUGCCCGAAAACCUUCCAGAAUCCAAAUACCAACUUCCUAUAUAUCAAUCUUCAUUUCUGGACCAUUCCGGAACUCCUCAUGAUGUCCGAGAUCUCAUACGGGACUCCAAACAAAACUUCGGUCACCAACACA
Molecule: long non-coding RNA, 302 nt
Filed under: Hordeum vulgare
Lineage: Eukaryota; Viridiplantae; Streptophyta; Magnoliopsida; Poales; Poaceae
Description: long non-coding RNA (HVUL_LNC010310)
Source: RNAcentral